RNAcentral lists this long non-coding RNA (204 nucleotides) under Ananas comosus (pineapple). RNAcentral describes it as "long non-coding RNA (ACOM_LNC043491)". The record is from RNAcentral. Lineage: Eukaryota; Viridiplantae; Streptophyta; Magnoliopsida; Poales; Bromeliaceae.
AAUAUACUCAAUGUGUCACGCCCCGGAUUACCACAUUUCCUCGGGCAUACCAACAGACCCGCCGUAUACAAAAGAAUUUUUCCUGUAUACGAAGCGAUAGCUAUACCUGUACCUAUAAUCAUACAAAACUAUAACUAGUACUAUAGAGCUGCUAACAGAACUGUAAACAUAUAUAAAUAAACAUCAGGUUAACCAUACAUAUAU